Molecule: long non-coding RNA, 170 nt
Organism: Sapajus apella (tufted capuchin)
Lineage: Eukaryota; Metazoa; Chordata; Mammalia; Primates; Cebidae
Exons: 3
Source: RefSeq, a predicted model, not a curated record
AGGGGGGGAUUUUGCUAGAUCAUAUGUUAGUUCUAUUUGUAGUUUUUUGAGAGAUCUUCAUACUGUUUUAAAUAGUAGCUAUACCAGUCUGCAUUCCCACCAACAGUGAAUAAGAGUUCCCUUUUCUCUGCAUUCUCACCAACAUUUGUUAUUUUUUGUCUUUUUGAUAA